This 461-nucleotide ribosomal RNA is filed under the name Fastosarion helenkingae. RNAcentral's name for it is "partial 16S large subunit ribosomal RNA". The record is from RNAcentral. Lineage: Eukaryota; Metazoa; Mollusca; Gastropoda; Stylommatophora; Helicarionidae.
UAUUACUGCAAAGAAAUAAAUAAUUAAGCAUAAAUAUUUUACCUUUUGCAUAAUGGUUUAAUAAUAUUAUUAAAAAUUUCUAACCCGAAGUUAGAAGAUCUAAUUUUAUUACUAUAUUAGAAAUAAUUAUAUAAUGUUUCAAAAUUAUAUUUAUAGCUAAAAUUAGGGGUGAAAGGCCUGUCAAUUCUAAAGAUAUCUGGAAUAAUUUUAAAUGUAUUUAGUACAAAAUUAAGUUUGAGUAAAAAAAUGUUAAGAUUUUUUUAUUUUAGAAUAGUCAUUUAUAUGUAUAUGUGAAUUAAUCUUCUUACAUUAAAAUACUAAAAUAAUUUAUUAUUAUAUGUAUCUAACUAUUAAAAUUAUAUUUGUAAUAAUUUUUAAUAAGAUUAACUAUGUUAAAAUUAGUAUAAUAUCUUUAUUUUAUUAAGGAACUCGGCAAAAUUACUAUUCAUCUGUUUAUCAAA